CCCAGCCAAUGGGGGUGGCGAGCCGUAGCUGCCCUCCCGCGCGUUCCAAUCGCAGGCAGCAACUGUUGGGGUGGGCGGGGCUCGGGCGGGCGGGGAUCCGGAGCGAAGCGGCGCGGGGCGGAGUCCUCGGGCGCAGCGGCGGUGGCAGCAGCGGCGCCCCUCUGGGUGACUUGGCCGUGAGAAAGUGAAAGGAGCCCGCAGGCGGCGGCGACAGCUGCGCUGGGAGGGGCUUGUUUCCAGGCUCAGAGGCCCCGCGCACUCUGCGGGUGCGGAGCGAGCUUUUCGGUGUGCACUGUGACAACCACAAACACACUUUUGAACGUAGUGGGGCUUGGCUGCUGCGAGUUACGCAGGUAUCCUGGAGAGGCAGGGCACCCGGGGACACGGAUGACUCGAGGCCGACUUCGGGUGGCUCUCUCUGCUCCUUCCUGUGGGGGUGAAGACGCCCGGGUCCUCGCCGGCCCGUGCGCAGGGGAGCGGGACCGAGGAGCGCUCUCGCUCCGUCCUGCGGCGUCCCGCGCCCAGGUGCACAUCGGGGAGCUGGGGACGCAGGCGACUCAGGCAGUUUCUGGGAGUCGUUCUUACGUCAUCAUGUCACGGGCAGAACAGGGCAGAGCGCCCGCCUUUCUCGCAAAACCCUCCUGUCCCUUGUGUACUUACACUGUUACAAGUAAAGACUUCCCCAAGUGACCAAAUUUUAGAGCAUUACAGUAAAAUUGGUACUUGCAGAUGCCUCAGCUUGAUUCCUUAAUUGAUACGUAUCUAGCCACAACUUUAAACUACCGAGGGACGAUGUAAGACUGCUGUGUCGCUUUUCUUUCCUUCAAAUAAACUUUUACUCGGUACCUGUUCUUGGCAAUUAGACUGCGUUAAUCACAGCCACAAAGACGUGGAAAUGUCUGCCGUCAAGAAAUUGGAAAUCGUAUCGAGGCAAGAAUUACAAAACCCAGACUGGCAAGCCUGUUGCUAACCAACCUGCCAGGAGACCUUUCAACUGGGCAAAAUGUGC
This 1009-nucleotide long non-coding RNA is filed under the name Homo sapiens (human). RNAcentral's name for it is "HSALNT0025110". Lineage: Eukaryota; Metazoa; Chordata; Mammalia; Primates; Hominidae. The record is from RNAcentral.